This 343-nucleotide unclassified non-coding RNA is filed under the name soil metagenome. Its description in RNAcentral is "partial contains 5.8S ribosomal RNA, internal transcribed spacer 2, and large subunit ribosomal RNA". The stretch from base 1 to 120 matches the Rfam family "5.8S ribosomal RNA", at positions 35 to 154 of the family's 154-position model. The record is from RNAcentral.
GAUGAAGAACGUAGCGAAAUGCGAUAAGUAAUGUGAAUUGCAGAAUUCAGUGAAUCAUCGAAUCUUUGAACGCACAUUGCGCCCGCUAGUAUUCUGGCGGGCAUGCCUGUCCGAGCGUCAUUUCAACCCUCAAGCCCCCGGGCUUGGUGUUGGGGAUCGGCGAGCCUCCGCGCCCGCCGUCCCCUAAAUCUAGUGGCGGUCUCGCUGUAGCUUCCUCUGCGUAGUAGCACACCUCGCACUGGGAAACAGCGCGGCCACGCCGUUAAACCCCCAACUUCUGAACGUUUGACCUCGGAUCAGGUAGGAAUACCCGCUGAACUUAAGCAUAUCAAUAAGCGGAGGA